Molecule: long non-coding RNA, 354 nt
Filed under: Manacus vitellinus (golden-collared manakin)
Lineage: Eukaryota; Metazoa; Chordata; Aves; Passeriformes; Pipridae
Description: lncRNA (ENSMVIG00005008751.1)
Source: RNAcentral
UGGCCGGCGUCGCGUUCUCUCUCGUACCGCCGAAGCUCAGUCUCGGCAGUGUCACUCGCGCCCUUGACCAGCGAGCCCGCUGGAAUUUAGUGACUGGGAUCGACGUCGCCGUUCGCAGUAAAGGGGAGCGCACAGACUCGGGGAAGGUCCCGUUCUCUGGUGAGGAGGUGGCCGCCCGCGCUCUGGAAGCAGGGGGAACUGGCUCCUCCUGGGGAGGAGAGUGCCUGGGGUAAGAAGCUCGGAGAUCAUCCUGACGUCACUGCAACCAUGAUUUCACCAGGCUUGUGCACUGUGAGGUUAUCGCGAUCUGAAAUCUCUGCUGCUGGAAAGAGGAAUUUAUUCACAAGACUCUAA